Molecule: ribosomal RNA, 450 nt
Filed under: uncultured Glomeromycotina
Lineage: Eukaryota; Fungi; Glomeromycota
Description: SSU rRNA
Rfam family: Eukaryotic small subunit ribosomal RNA
Source: RNAcentral
AGCAGCCGCGGUAAUUCCAGCUCCAAUAGCGUAUAUUAAAGUUGUUGCAGUUAAAAAGCUCGUAGUUGAAUUUCGGGGUUAGUAGGUUGGUCGUGCCACCGGUAUGUACUGGCUCUACUGAUCCCUCCUUCUUGUAGAACCGUAAUGCCAUUAACUUGGUGUUGCGGGGAAACAGGACUGUUACUUUGAAAAAAUUAGAGUGUUUAAAGCAAGCUAACGCUUGAAUACAUUAGCAUGGAAUAAUGAAAUAGGACGCUCGAUCCUAUUUUGUUGGUUUCUAGGAUUGACGUAAUGAUUAAUAGGGAUAGUUGGGGGCAUUAGUAUUCAAUUGUCAGAGGUGAAAUUCUUGGAUUUAUUGAAGACUAACUACUGCGAAAGCAUUUGCCAAGGAUGUUUUCAUUAAUCAAGAACGAAAGUUAGGGGAUCGAAGACGAUCAGAUACCGUCGUAG